AUGACAGUCCUGUAAGCAAACGAUGUUCAAAACCAAAAGCACAAUCCUAACCUCUGGCCGACCCCCUUCUUGAAACGGGUGACUUGUAGUUUAAGCUGGGCAGACAUUUGACACCCCAGUCACCUGACCAACACGGAGUCAGGGGAAGAGGAGAGAGCAGUUAGCAUCCAGGAAGCAAGCUGGGUCACACAAUCCCAAAGGGGGCUAGCAACUGGACAGUGUUGUCUGUUGGAGGGAGUUGGCACUCGACUCUUCAGGAAGAUGUGGAGGAGAGUUUAGAAAGAAACUGAUUUUGGUCACUUGCUAUUAAUAGAAUGUCCCAGCAGGCUAUAUUCCUCUGUAAAUUUCUAAUUGUAAGGAAGGAGAGGUGAGUUUUUCUUACAGUUCACUAUGAGAUGAGCAACUUCUUUAAGGAAAGAAAUAUUAGCUCUCCCAUGAUGCAGGACCUCUCAGAACAAAGAAAUAACUCAGCUUAAGCUUACAUUUCUAUUUGCUAGCAGGGAUAUCCUAGCUUGGAGAAGGACAUUUUUUGUUUCCCACACAACAAAAAUUUAUUGAAAAAUAAAGUUCCCCCUAGUUUUCUCUACAACCAUGGAAAACAAAGCAGUGUUCUCUAUGCCGGUACAGUGCACUUGGACAGCGACACCUUAUUUGUAGAAUCCUGCACUACGGAAGGGCACACGU
Long non-coding RNA from Herpailurus yagouaroundi (jaguarundi), 684 nucleotides. RefSeq lists it as uncharacterized. Lineage: Eukaryota; Metazoa; Chordata; Mammalia; Carnivora; Felidae. The transcript is spliced from 3 exons. The record is from RefSeq and is a predicted model, not a curated record.